CCUACGGGGGGCUGCAGUAGGGAAUAUUGGUAAUGGGCGAAAGCCUGAACCAGCAACGCCGCGUGUGCGAUGAAGGCCUUCGGGUCGUAAAGCACUUUUUGGAGGGAUGAGGAAGGACAGUACCUCCAGAAUAAGCCUCGGCUAACUACGUGCCAGCAGCCGCGGUAACACGUAGGAGGCAAGCGUUAUUCGGAUUUACUGGGCGUAAAGCGCGUGCAGGCGGUUCGGAAAGUUGGAUGUGAAAGCUCCUGGCUUAACUGGGAGAGGUCGUUCAAUACUUCCGGACUUGAGAGUGGGAGAGGGAGGUGGAAUUCCGGGUGUAGUGGUGAAAUGCGUAGAUAUCCGGAGGAACACCAGUGGCGAAAGCGGCCUCCUGGCCCAUUUCUGACGCUCAGACGCGAAAGCUAGGGUAGCAAACGGGCUUAGAUACCCGUGUAGUC
RNAcentral lists this ribosomal RNA (440 nucleotides) under uncultured Anaerolineaceae bacterium. RNAcentral describes it as "bacterial SSU rRNA". It matches the Rfam family "Bacterial small subunit ribosomal RNA", at positions 338 to 795 of the family's 1533-position model. The record is from RNAcentral. Lineage: Bacteria; Bacillati; Chloroflexota; Anaerolineae; Anaerolineales; Anaerolineaceae.